This 524-nucleotide ribosomal RNA is filed under the name uncultured Caulobacteraceae bacterium. RNAcentral's name for it is "bacterial SSU rRNA". It matches the Rfam family "Bacterial small subunit ribosomal RNA", at positions 235 to 776 of the family's 1533-position model. Lineage: Bacteria; Pseudomonadati; Pseudomonadota; Alphaproteobacteria; Caulobacterales; Caulobacteraceae. The record is from RNAcentral.
GUCUGAUUAGCUUGUUGGUGAGGUAAUGGCUCACCAAGGCUACGAUCAGUAGCUGGUCAGAGAGGAUGGCCAGCCACACUGGGACUGAGACACGGCCCAGACUCCUACAGGAGGCAGCAGUGGGGAAUCUUGCGCAAUGGGCGAAAGCCUGACGCAGCCAUGCCGCGUGGAUGAUGAAGGUCUUAGGAUUGUAAAAUCCUUUCACCGGGGACGAUAAUGACGGUACCCGGAGAAGAAGCCCCGGCUAACUUCGUGCCAGCAGCCGCGGUAAUACGAAGGGGGCUAGCGUUGCUCGGAAUUACUGGGCGUAAAGGGCGCGUAGGCGGACAGUUAAGUUGGGGGUGAAAGCCCGGGGCUCAACCUCGGAAAUGCCUUCAAUACUGGCUGUCUUGAGUACGGGAGAGGUGAGUGGAACUCCGAGUGUAGAGGUGAAAUUCGUAGAUAUUCGGAAGAACACCAGUGGCGAAGGUGACUCACUGGCCCGUUACUGACGCUGAGGCGCGAAAGCGUGGGGAGCAAACAGG